This 374-nucleotide ribosomal RNA is filed under the name uncultured organism. Its description in RNAcentral is "partial 16S ribosomal RNA". It matches the Rfam family "Bacterial small subunit ribosomal RNA", at positions 527 to 896 of the family's 1533-position model. The record is from RNAcentral.
GUAGGUGGCAAGCGUUGUCCGGAAUUAUUGGGCGUAAAGCGCGCGCAGGCGGUUCUUUAAGUCUGAUGUGAAAGCCCACGGCUCAACCGUGGAGGGUCAUUGGAAACUGGAGAACUUGAGUACAGAAGAGGGAAAGCGGAAUUCCACGUGUAGCGGUGAAAUGCGUAGAGAUGUGGAGGAACACCAGUGGCGAAGGCGGCUUUCUGGUCUGUAACUGACGCUGAGGCGCGAAAGCGUGGGGAGCAAACAGGGAUUAGAUACCCUGGUAGUCCACGCCGUAAACGAUGAGUGCUAAGUGUUAGGGGGGUUUCCGCCCCCUUAGUGCUGCAGCUAACGCAUUAAGCACUCCGCCUGGGGAUACGGCCGCAAGGCUG